Molecule: small RNA, 28 nt
Filed under: Bombyx mori (domestic silkworm)
Lineage: Eukaryota; Metazoa; Arthropoda; Insecta; Lepidoptera; Bombycidae
Description: ovarian small RNA-31331
Source: RNAcentral
UGACACAAAACACGAAACGUGCAUGAGC